This 370-nucleotide ribosomal RNA is filed under the name uncultured bacterium. Its description in RNAcentral is "bacterial SSU rRNA". It matches the Rfam family "Bacterial small subunit ribosomal RNA", at positions 527 to 896 of the family's 1533-position model. The record is from RNAcentral.
AGAGGGUGCGAGCGUUAAUCGGAGUUACUGGGCGUAAAGGGCGCGUAGGCGGUUAUAUAAGUGAGAUGUGAAAUCCCUGGGCUUAACCUAGGAACUGCAUCUCAUACUGUAUGACUGGAGUAUUGUAGAGGGUAGUGGAAUUUCCGGUGUAGCGGUGAAAUGCGUAGAGAUCGGAAGGAACACCAGUGGCGAAGGCGGCUACCUGGACAAAUACUGACGCUGAGGCGCGAGAGCGUGGGGAGCAAACAGGAUUAGAUACCCUGGUAGUCCACGCUGUAAACGAUGAAAACUAGAUGUUGGGCAGCAUGACUGUUUAGUAUCGAAGCUAACGCGAUAAGUUUUCCGCCUGGGGAGUACGGUCGCAAGAUUA